GACGAACGCUGGCGGCGUGCUUAACACAUGCAAGUCGAACGGUGACCCAGAGCUUGCUCUGGGGAUCAGUGGCGAACGGGUGAGUAACACGUGGGCAACCUGCCCCAGACUCUGGGAUAACCCCGGGAAACCGGAGCUAAUACCGGAUAUGACCACUUCGGACAUCCGAUGGUGGUGGAAAGUUUUUCGGUCUGGGAUGGGCCCGCGGCCUAUCAGCUAGUUGGUGGGGUAAUGGCCUACCAAGGCGACGACGGGUAGCCGGCCUGAGAGGGCGACCGGCCACACUGGAACUGAGACACGGUCCAGACUCCUACGGGAGGCAGCAGUGGGGAAUUUUGGACAAUGGGCGCAAGCCUGAUCCAGCCAUGCCGCGUGAGUGAAGAAGGCC
Molecule: ribosomal RNA, 388 nt
Filed under: uncultured bacterium
Lineage: Bacteria
Description: bacterial SSU rRNA
Rfam family: Bacterial small subunit ribosomal RNA
Source: RNAcentral